This 414-nucleotide long non-coding RNA is filed under the name Drosophila guanche. The record is from RNAcentral. Lineage: Eukaryota; Metazoa; Arthropoda; Insecta; Diptera; Drosophilidae.
CAAUUACUGAAGAAAAAUAUAUAUAUAUACUUUUUUUGGUAUUCAAUUGGACCAUUAAAAUUGGAUGGUCGCACGACUAUGAGUCCGCAUUGACCAGGUACUUCAGUUAAUGUUGGUUCAGUCCAGACCGGUUCGGUUCAUAGCGCCGCGCGUCAUGCGGCAGCGCCCCUCGGUCGGUUGGGCGGGAGGAGGGCUGCGUUCUGCUGGGUUCCGCGCAUAACAGACUUGGGCUUGGUGUCGCAUGGGCCACUUCAUGGUGCAGUCAUUGCAUAUCAACGUCCAGACAAGAAUACUUAUUAGAAGAAAAUAUUUUACUGAACAUUUUGGACACCAAAAAUGGAAUGAAGACAAAUAUUUGAAAUAUUUUAAAAUGAAUUUGUCAAUAUGUUUUAAAAUAUUUUGUCUAAUUCUGAU